RNAcentral lists this ribosomal RNA (1290 nucleotides) under Citrobacter sp. TBCS-11. RNAcentral's name for it is "partial 23S ribosomal RNA". It matches the Rfam family "Bacterial large subunit ribosomal RNA", at positions 932 to 2199 of the family's 2925-position model. The record is from RNAcentral. Lineage: Bacteria; Pseudomonadati; Pseudomonadota; Gammaproteobacteria; Enterobacterales; Enterobacteriaceae.
CGACUUACCAACCCGAUGCAAACUGCGAAUACCGAAGAAUGUUAUCACGGGAGACACACGGCGGGUGCUAACGUCCGUCGUGAAGAGGGAAACAACCCAGACCGCCAGCUAAGGUCCCAAAGUCAUGGUUAAGUGGGAAACGAUGUGGGAAGGCACAGACAGCCAGGAUGUUGGCUUAGAAGCAGCCAUCAUUUAAAGAAAGCGUAAUAGCUCACUGGUCGAGUCGGCCUGCGCGGAAGAUGUAACGGGGCUAAACCAUGCACCGAAGCUGCGGCAGCGACACUAUGUGUUGUUGGGUAGGGGAGCGUUCUGUAAGCCGUUGAAGGUGUGCUGUGAGGCAUGCUGGAGGUAUCAGAAGUGCGAAUGCUGACAUAAGUAACGAUAAUGCGGGUGAAAAACCCGCACGCCGGAAGACCAAGGGUUCCUGUCCAACGUUAAUCGGGGCAGGGUGAGUCGACCCCUAAGGCGAGGCCGAAAGGCGUAGUCGAUGGGAAACAGGUUAAUAUUCCUGUACUUGGUGUUACUGCGAAGGGGGGACGGAGAAGGCUAUGUUAGCCGGGCGACGGUUGUCCCGGUUUAAGCAUGUAGGCGGAGAUUCCAGGUAAAUCCGGAGUCUUGCUAACGCUGAGGUGUGAUGACGAGGCACUACGGUGCUGAAGUAACAAAUGCCCUGCUUCCAGGAAAAGCCUCUAAGCAUCAGGUAACACGAAAUCGUACCCCAAACCGACACAGGUGGUCAGGUAGAGAAUACCAAGGCGCUUGAGAGAACUCGGGUGAAGGAACUAGGCAAAAUGGUGCCGUAACUUCGGGAGAAGGCACGCUGAUAUGUAGGUGAAGUGAUUUACUCAUGGAGCUGAAAUCAGUCGAAGAUACCAGCUGGCUGCAACUGUUUAUUAAAAACACAGCACUGUGCAAACACGAAAGUGGACGUAUACGGUGUGACGCCUGCCCGGUGCCGGAAGGUUAAUUGAUGGGGUUAUCCGUAAGGAGAAGCUCUUGAUCGAAGCCCCGGUAAACGGCGGCCGUAACUAUAACGGUCCUAAGGUAGCGAAAUUCCUUGUCGGGUAAGUUCCGACCUGCACGAAUGGCGUAAUGAUGGCCAGGCUGUCUCCACCCGAGACUCAGUGAAAUUGAACUCGCUGUGAAGAUGCAGUGUACCCGCGGCAAGACGGAAAGACCCCGUGAACCUUUACUAUAGCUUGACACUGAACACUGGUCCUUGAUGUGUAGGAUAGGUGGGAGGCUUUGAAGUGUGGACGCCAGUCUGCAUGGAGCCAACCNAUUAAAAUA